UUUAAGGGCGUAUGGUGGAUGCCUUGGCAUGAAGUAGCGAUGAAGGACGUGGCAUGGCUGCGAUAAUUCUCGGGGAGGUGCCUAGCAACCUUCGAUCCGGGAGUUUCCGAAUGGGGGAACCCACCGUGUAUUAACACGGUACUCUAUUUAUAGAGAGCGCACCUGGGGAAGUGAAACAUCUCAGUACCCAGAGGAACAGAGACAAUAUUUGCAUUCCCUAAGUAGCGGCGAGCGAAAAGGGAGGAGCCCAAACCAUUCUGCUUGCAGAAUGGGGUUGUAGGGUAAUGACGUUGCAUUUAUGUAAGGAAAGUUACAAAGUUGUUUGUUAGCAGAAGCGUUUUGGAAAAGCGCACCAAAGACGGUAACAGUCCUGUAUGCGAAAACAAGCAACCUUUCUUGUCAUUAUUCCUGAGUACUUCGGGACACGAAUAGCCCGUGGGAACCCGCCGGAACUAACCGGCAAGGCUAAAUAUACUUCAUGACCGAUAGUGAACUAGUACCGUGAGGGAAAGGUGAAAAGCAGUCCGAUGAGGACGUUGAAAUAGUACCUGAAACCGUAUGCCUACAAGGAGUCGGAGCCAAUUUAUUUGGUGACGGCGUGCCUAUUGAAGAAUGAGCCAACGAGUUUAUGUAUGUUGCAGGAUAAGUCCGGAGACGGAUGGAUCCGUAGGGAAACCGAGUGUUAAUAGCGCGUCUUUAACUUUUUCAUUAUUUGAGUUGUAUAGUCGACUCAAGUAAUGAGAAAGUCUUUAGUAGCAUGCAUAAGACCCGAAGCCAAGUGAGCUUGCCAUGAGCAGGGUGAACUUUUCCGAAAGGAGAAGGGAGGCCCGAACCGGUUGGUCGUGCAACUCCAUCGGAUGACUUGUGGUAAGAAGUGAAAAGCUAAUCGAACUUGGUAAUAGCUGGUUCUCUCCGAAAUAGCUUUAGGGUUAGCGUCAUAUGUUCCUUUUGGGGGUAGAGCACUGGAAGGUGAGAAUAGGGAGAAAUCUCGUCUCUCCUACCAAACUCCGAAUACCAAAAGUUAAAGUAUGGCAGUUAGACUGUGGGCGCUAAGGUCCAUUGGUCAAAAGGGAAACAGCCCAGACCCACAAUUAAGGUCCCUAAAUUCAUACUCAGUACACUUAAGGAGGUGAAGUUUCACUGACAAUGAGGAGGUUGGCUUAGAAGCAGCCAUCCUUAAAAGAUAGCGUAACAGCUCACUCAUCCAGAGACUUCGCGCCGCAGAUUAUCGGGGUUAAGUAUGAUACCGAAAUUUGGGAUGUUUGUAGAUUUCAUUGAGGGAAUAGUUCUUUAGAAACGGAAUAUGUAUCCGGGUAGCUCAGCUGGAAGAGCAGGUGGCUGUUAACCACUGAGUCGGAGGUUUGAGUCCUCCCCCGGAUGCCAGCCGUUUGAUAUUCGCGUUUCGCGCGCGAGGGGAGAUGUGUACGUCGAAGCCGACAGAUGCGGGCCCUUAACCCGUAAUCGGCGUGCGUGGGGGUCCAACCCUCUUCUCUCCAAUCGGGCGAGGGGCUCAUGGUGUCGGCCAUAAGCUCCUCGCCCCCUCAAUGAAAUCUGCAAGCGUGGUAGGAGAGUAUUCUCAUCCGCACUGAAGCCGCACUGCGAGGUGUAGUGGAGCGUUGAGAAGUAAGAAUGUUGGCACAAGUAACCGCAAGGCGUGUGAGAUCCACGCCCGCCGAAAGACUAAGGUUUCCUUGGCAAUGGUGAUCAUCCAAGGGUUAGUCGGGCCUAAGGGAAUGACGAAAGUCGGACCCGAUGGACACAUGGUUAAUAUUCCAUGACUUAUAUAAAGUUCGAUGGGGUGACGGAGUGUAGUAUAUGGAGCGCAUUAUUGGAUUUGCGUUCUUGUCGUAAGGGAGGUUUCUAGGUAAAUCCGGGACCUGUUUUAAAUAACGAUUCCAAGCGAAGAGAAAAUCUGGAGGUUCGCCAAAGGAAAUUCUAUAAAGCACGCUUCCAAGAAAACCCUCUAAGGUUAACUUUAUGUAAUCCGUACCGUAAACCGACACAGGUAGUCAGGUCGAGAAGACCAAGGCGAACGAGUGAGAGAUCCUCAAGGAACUCGGCAAAAAAGCGGCCGUAACUUCGGAAUAAGGCCUGCCCUUAUGCCUUCGGGUAUAAGGGCCGCAGCGAAAGUAUCCCUGGCGACUGUUUAUCAAAAACACAGCUCCCUGCGAACUCGCAAGAGGAUGUAUAGGGGGUGACGCCUGACCAAUGCCAGAAGGUCAAGUACGGGGGGUCAUGUUACUUCGGUAAUAUGGCUGGACUGUAUAAGCCCUGGUGAAUGUCGGCGAUAACUAUAAUCGUCCUAAGGUAGCGCAAUUCCUUGUCUGGUAAGUUCAGACGUGCACGAAUGGCGUAACGACUGGGGAACUGUCUCGAGGAUUCGCUCGGUGAAAAUGCAAUGGCGGUGAAGACGCCGCCUACCCACAGCUAGACGAAAAGACCCCGGGAGCUUUACUAUAGCUUGAUAUUGAGCAUAUUCGCUUACUGCGUAGCAUAGGUGGGAGACUUUGAAGGUGCUUUUUCGGAGGUACUGGAGUCGUCAGUGAAAUACCACUCUGUAAUUGGGUAUGUUCUAACCAGCGCGGCAAAACCGUGCUGAGACAGUAUCUGGCGGGUAGUUUAAGUGGGGCGCUUUCCUCCUAAAGAGUAACGGAGGAGCCUAUUAAGGUCAGUUAGGCGCGAAUGGAAACCGUGCCGAUAGUGUAAUGGCAUAAACUGGCUUGACUGCAAGGCGUAUGUGCCAAGCAGGGCAGAAAUGCGAGCAUAGUGAACCGAUGAUCCACGUUAGAUGUGGUCAAAGAUUAUCAGAUAAAAGCUACCCCGGGGAUAACAGGCUGGUUCCGCCCGAGCGUCCAUAGCGACGGCGGAGUUCGGCACCUCGAUGUCGGCUCAACUUAUCCUGGGGGUGGAGAAGCUCCCAAGGGUUUGGCUGUUCGCCAAUUAAAAAGUUACGCGAGCUGGGUUCAGACCGUU
RNAcentral lists this small RNA (2973 nucleotides) under marine eukaryotic metagenome. RNAcentral's name for it is "Bacterial large subunit ribosomal RNA". It matches the Rfam family "Bacterial large subunit ribosomal RNA", at positions 1 to 2620 of the family's 2925-position model. The record is from RNAcentral.